Molecule: unclassified non-coding RNA, 229 nt
Filed under: Hevea brasiliensis (rubber tree)
Lineage: Eukaryota; Viridiplantae; Streptophyta; Magnoliopsida; Malpighiales; Euphorbiaceae
Source: RNAcentral
AUGACAAGCACCUUUGUCGUUGCAUAAGUAAAUUUCUGAAAAAACAUGACAAAGACCUCUAAAGAGUCUAACAUGAAAGUAUCAACUAAAUGAACAAUCUCAUAAGUAGACAAACAUAAAGAAACUGUUAGAACACUCAUGAAAACAAAAGCAAAAACCGAUUGACCGACAUUACCUAAAAGAACUAAUAAGAACUUCUCCCAUCUCCCUCGAUGAUCACAUCUUCAAA